Molecule: ribosomal RNA, 503 nt
Filed under: uncultured bacterium
Lineage: Bacteria
Description: partial 16S ribosomal RNA
Rfam family: Bacterial small subunit ribosomal RNA
Source: RNAcentral
ACUGAACGCUGGCGGCAGGCUUAACACAUGCAAGUCGAGCGGGGUGAUGGUGCUUGCACUAUCACUUAGCGGCGGACGGGUGAGUAAUGCUUAGGAAUCUGCCUAUUAGUGGGGGACAACAUCUCGAGAGGGAUGCUAAUACCGCAUACGUCCUACGGGAGAAAGCAGGGGACCACUUGUGACCUUGCGCUAAGAGAUGAGCCUAAGUCGGAUUAGCUAGUUGGUGGGGUAAAGGCCUACCAAGGCGACGAUCUGUAGCGGGUCUGAGAGGAUGAUCCGCCACACUGGGACUGAGACACGGCCCAGACUCCUACGGGAGGCAACAGUGGGGAAUAUUGGACAAUGGGGGGAACCCUGAUCCAGCCAUGCCGCGUGUGUGAAGAAGGCCUUAUGGUUGUAAAGCACUUUAAGCGAGGAGGAGGCUCUUUUGGUUAAUACCCAAGAUGAGUGGACGUUACUCGCAGAAUAAGCACCGGCUAACUCUGUGCCAGCCGCCGCUGUAA